Molecule: long non-coding RNA, 1816 nt
Filed under: Homo sapiens (human)
Lineage: Eukaryota; Metazoa; Chordata; Mammalia; Primates; Hominidae
Description: HSALNT0144910
Source: RNAcentral
GAUGUCUUUUCUGGUAUCAUUUUUUGGUAGUGUGUGUGUGUUUGUGUGUGUGUGUGUGUGUGUGAAUCAGCGCCUAAUAGCACUAUAUGCACAGAAUUAUACUGUUCCUCCUGUAGCCAUGAAUGAAGAUCAGAAUGCUCUUUUUCCAGCUGUACUCUGAAUUUAUUGAGAAUAGAUACCUGUUCUGAUUAUGCAGUGUAUGCCAAGUGCCAAGCACAGAGUAGAAUUUCCUUAGUGGAUUUGUUCUAGGUCCAGAGUGUAGCGGGCCUGCUUCUUAGAGACUGCUUUAUAUUCAGCAAAGUCCCAAGGUACUAUAUUGUUAAUUUAUAAGGAGAAAAACAUCAUGUAGGUGGCUACAAGCAGUACUCAAAUCUCCAUGUCCAAUCUGCAUGCUCUGUUGUAGAGUCUGUCCUACAUAGGUGAUCAUAAGCAGAGAAUGUUUAGAAAGCCUGGAGUCAAACCAAGAAUAUGCUUUUCGGACUUUUGUUUAUAGAGCAUCUGAGGCUGACCACCUCACUUUCCAUGUGAUACAUUUUAUAGUCAAGCCUUGCUAACCUUGAACCCAUUUUAUUGCUCUUCAGUUUAAGUUCUGUGAAGCUGUAAUUAAUCCUUUUCAAAACAGCUAUAAUUCUCUUAUUCCACUCUGUCAUACUCACCUGUCAAAACCUCAGCCCUGGUUAAAACCAACUAUUGGUCAGCUUACUUAGCUUUGGCCUUCUCUUUUGUCUUCAUUUUAUUUGCAGGUGCCAUCUAGUCCCAUGUAUUUAAAUACUUCAGCUGGUGGCUCUGAAAUUUCUAGCAACAGUGCUGCCCUCUCCUGAGCUCCAGACUUAGAUCCAAAUGUCUCCUUGAUGGUUCAUGUUGGAAGACUUCAAGGUCAAACACAUGUACAGGGUUAACAUGACUUUAUUUUUUUCACCAAGCCUGCCUCUUAUGUUUGCCUGUUUGUUCCAUCUAAAACUCUACUUUUCCUGGAUUCUUUACUUUCCAGUUGUCUUGCAUAUGAUCAUCCAAAUGUCCCAAAAGUGCCCAUUUCUCUUCUUCACCACUACCUUGGGGUCCAUGCCACUAGUGUUUUCUUGCUUGAUCUGUUACAGUGACCUGACUGGUCUUUCUGCUUUCACUCCUACACACUCCCCCAACCCUCUGUGUGCAAGAGCAGAGCGAGCUUUUUAAAAUAAAAGUCACAUGCCUUAGGUAAUCCUCCCAUGUUCCACUAUCUUGGCUCAUUGAAUUCCUGUCUUCAGGAAUCUUGUCCUCUGCCUUACCUCAACCUCUCACUCUGGUCUUAUUCAUUUCCAGUAAUCGAACCCCCUCCCUAAUUGUGUGUAUCCUUCUCUCUGACCAUAGCUCCUGUCUUUCCAGCUCACUUUCUGUAGUAUCCCAGAUCCAGUAAUCCUUGGAUCCUACUAGGACCUUCAAGCCACUACAGACAGGCUAUUACCUCCAUGACCCCACCAAAGUAUGCCAUGCCCUCCUAGUUUACGGUGUACCUGACUUAGCAGCCACACCUCAACCUGGGCCCCUGGCUGCUCCCCAUGUCCCUGACCCACUGAGAUUAGCAGGUCACCUAAUCCAUCUUCCCUGUCUGCUGGGCCAGCCAGGACCUCCCCUUGAACUCCACUGGGCCCUUACUGGCCUGCUUGACAGCUCCACUUGGAUUUCUGGUAUUCUUCUGGCAUUCUUUCUGACCUUUACCCACCAAACUGCUCCUCUCACAAUUUCUGCCAUUUCAGUUUAAUGGCAACUCUUAAUUAUUAGCAUAUCCUGUUGGUUCUAUGUUUAAAGUAAAUCCAUUGGAGUCCAGUUACUCUGG